This 406-nucleotide ribosomal RNA is filed under the name uncultured bacterium. RNAcentral's name for it is "partial 16S ribosomal RNA". It matches the Rfam family "Bacterial small subunit ribosomal RNA", at positions 28 to 526 of the family's 1533-position model. The record is from RNAcentral.
GACGAACGCUGGCGGCGUGCCUAAUACAUGCAAGUCGAACGAGUGGCGGACGGGUGAGUAACACGUGGGAACCUACCCAUCAGAGGGGGAUAACAUUUGGAAACAGGUGCUAAUACCGCAUACUGAUGGAUGGACCCGGGGGGCAUUAGCUAGUUGGUGGGGUAAUGGUUCACAAAGGCUAUGACGCAUAACUGGUCUGAGAGGAUGAUCAGUCACACUGGAACUGAGACACGGUCCAGCCUCCUACGGGAGGCAGCAGUGGGGAAUAUUGCACAAUGGGCGCAAGCCUGAUGCAGCCAUGCCGCGUGUGUGAAGAAGGCCUUCGGGUUGUAAAGCACUUUCAGCGAGGAGGCGUUACUCGCAGAAGAAGCACCGGCUAACUCCGUGCCAGCAGCCGCGGUAAUAC